Molecule: ribosomal RNA, 633 nt
Filed under: Pristobaeus cf. discedens JXZ-2013
Lineage: Eukaryota; Metazoa; Arthropoda; Arachnida; Araneae; Salticidae
Description: partial 28S ribosomal RNA
Rfam family: Eukaryotic large subunit ribosomal RNA
Source: RNAcentral
AAUCCCCGUCCUCCGGGCGAGGGAAAUGUGGCGUUUAGGAGUGAGCGUGUCGWGUUCGGAGCCGGCGGCAAGUCCCCCUGACCGGGGCCUGUCCGUAGCGGGUGCGAGGCCCAUAGCCGCCGGCGUCGUCUCGAAUGCGAUCUCCUGGGAGUCGGGUUGCUUGGGAGUGCAGCCCCAAUCGGGUGGUAAACUCCACCUAAGGCUAAAUACCGCCGUGAGACCGAUAGCAAACAAGUACCGUGAGGGAAAGUUGCAAAGAACUUUGAAGAGAGAGUUCAAGAGUACGUGAAACUGCUCAGAGGUAAACGGGUGGRSCCUCGAAAUCCUGUGGCGAGAGGAUUCAGUCUGUCUAGGCGGACGCGUAGGAAGCACUUGGACUCCGAGAAUCSGGCCGUCUUCCGGCGCGGCUUUCGCCGACGCAGACGCAUUUGUCUCUCGUCCCGAGGACGCUGCAGCCGGUCUGGAAGUUGCAAGCGCGACGGCCUGAAGGCCUGGGAGCYGGCAGGUGGCCGGUGGCUCGCCUCGUUGCGGGUCGUCGGUUUUUAUAGCCGUCCCGGCAGUGGCUCGUCUCCAGACCGUGGUGUCGCGAGUCCCUUCRASGGGACUCCUCGUCUCCAACCCCAGAGUCGCGGA